Hyla sarda is the source of this 471-nucleotide long non-coding RNA. RefSeq lists it as uncharacterized. The record is from RefSeq and is a predicted model, not a curated record. The transcript has 3 exons. Lineage: Eukaryota; Metazoa; Chordata; Amphibia; Anura; Hylidae.
UACAAUGCCCAGGUCUGACACCAGCAGCCUGUGACAGGGAGAGCUCCGUGCGAUGACAGGAAGAGACUGUACAGUGCUGGGGAGGGGGCGUGACCUCCUGUCUCCUCUCUCCCCCUCCCCCGCCUUCCCUCUGCCCCGUGCAGUCUUACAACCCUCCAUAGGCAGAGCAGGGAGGGGAGAGAAGGAGAGGCCGUGUGUAUCCUGUCUCCCUCUGCUGCGCAGGGCGGGGGGACGUCACUCGUCAUCACAGAGAGCCAGCGUUGCUGUCGCGCUCCACCACUACCGCCGCCGCUGGCAUAAAUAGGGUUUAGGAAUUAACAUUGCUGAGGAUGUGAGAGCGAAAACCGAUGGUUUACGGAACAGAACAUUACGGAAGAAGAUUACAGAAGACUACGGCGCGCUGUGGAAUGUCCAGAGCCCUUUAAUGCUUCCUUAAAAUCUUUGACUGAAUGCUUGUGAAAUGUAGAUGGU